This 477-nucleotide ribosomal RNA is filed under the name uncultured Coriobacteriaceae bacterium. Its description in RNAcentral is "bacterial SSU rRNA". It matches the Rfam family "Bacterial small subunit ribosomal RNA", at positions 900 to 1382 of the family's 1533-position model. The record is from RNAcentral. Lineage: Bacteria; Bacillati; Actinomycetota; Coriobacteriia; Coriobacteriales; Coriobacteriaceae.
CUUAAAGGAAUUGACGGGGCCGCACAAGCGGCGGAGCAUGCGGAUUAAUUCGAUGCAACGCGAAGAACCUUACCAAGGCUUGACAUACACCGGUAACGCCCAGAGAUGGGUGCCCCUUUGUGGUCGGUGGACAGGUGGUGCAUGGUUGUCGUCAGCUCGUGUCGUGAGAUGUUGGGUUAAGUCCCGCAACGAGCGCAACCCUCGUCCUAUGUUGCCAGCAUUAAGUUGGGGACUCAUAGGAGACUGCCGGCGUCAAGCCGGAGGAAGGUGGGGAUGACGUCAAGUCAUCAUGCCCCUUAUGUCCUGGGCUGCACACGUGCUACAAUGGCCGGUACAAUGGGCUGCGAUGCCGCGAGGCGGAGCGAAUCCCAUAAAACCGAUCCCAGUUCGGAUCGGAGGCUGCAACCCGCCUCCGUGAAGUCGGAGUUGCUAGUAAUCGCGGAUCAGCAUGCCGCGGUGAAUACGUUCCCGGGCCUU